UUAUGGCCAUAUCACUUUGAAUCAUCGGUUCCCAUACGAUCACCGAAGUUAAGCAACAUUGAGGCUGAUUAGUAACGAGAUGGGUUACCCCUGGGGAAUAACAGGUGCUGCAAG
Non-coding RNA from Acanthosepion pharaonis, 114 nucleotides. The record is from the annotation of a GenBank genome assembly. NCBI's taxonomy places the organism in Eukaryota, Metazoa, Mollusca, Cephalopoda, Sepiida, Sepiidae.